This 260-nucleotide long non-coding RNA is filed under the name Populus tremula. RNAcentral's name for it is "long non-coding RNA (PTRE_LNC001643)". The record is from RNAcentral. Lineage: Eukaryota; Viridiplantae; Streptophyta; Magnoliopsida; Malpighiales; Salicaceae.
GUCACUUGCUACUACUUUCAUUACAAGAACAGUCACUAGCUGAGCAAAAAGAAUUACAGAUGGAAGAAUUGAUACGUUCAUGUAACAAACUUAUCAAACUCAUAUAGUGUUAAUGUUGCUGUCACGUAACAAUUAAUAUUGUUGCUGAAAACAUGAAAACAAAAAAGACUAAAUGCAUUGAAUCAGUAGCAACAAUGGCAAAGGUUACCUCUCUAUGGUGUUUAUGAGUUCGUCGGAGUCCGCCUACUUGGUGACUUUUU